CAGCCGCCACGGUAAUACGGAGGGUGCAAGCGUUAAUCGGAAUUACUGGGCGUAAAGCGCACGCAGGCGGUCUGACAAGUCAGAUGUGAAAUCCCCGGGCUUAACCUGGGAACUGCAUUUGAAACUGUCAGGCUGGAGUCUUGUAGAGGGGGGUGGAAUUCCAGGUGCAGCGGUGAAAUGCGUAGAGAUCUGGAGGAAUACCGGUGGCGAAGGCGGCCCCCUGGACAAAGACUGACGCUCAGGUGCGAAAGCGUGGGGAGCAAACAGGAUUAGAUACCCCUGUAGUCCCUGUCUCUUAUAC
This 301-nucleotide ribosomal RNA is filed under the name uncultured bacterium. RNAcentral's name for it is "partial 16S ribosomal RNA". It matches the Rfam family "Bacterial small subunit ribosomal RNA", at positions 509 to 807 of the family's 1533-position model. The record is from RNAcentral.